Molecule: ribosomal RNA, 889 nt
Filed under: uncultured bacterium
Lineage: Bacteria
Description: bacterial SSU rRNA
Rfam family: Bacterial small subunit ribosomal RNA
Source: RNAcentral
CGGACGGGUGAGUAACGCGUGAAGAAUCUGUCCUUAAAUUGAGAAUAACCUUGUGAAAGUAGGGCUAAUUCUCAAUAAUCUGAUAGGUGAGCAUUCACCAAUCAGAAAAGACGGUUUAUCUGUCGUUUAAGGAGGUCUUCGCGUCGGAUUAGCUAGCUGGUAGGAUAACAGCCUACCAGGGCAUCGAUCCGUAGCUGGUCUGAGAGGACGAUCAGCCACACUGGGACUGAGACACGGCCCAGACUCCUACGGGAGGCAGCAGUGGGGAAUCUUGCACAAUGGGCGAAAGCCUGAUGCAGCGACGCCGCGUGGGGGACGAAGGCCCUCGGGUCGUAAACCCCUACCAGCAGGGAGGAAGAAGGACGUCAGGAAAUGGGCGUCCGGUGACGUUACCUGCUGUAUUAGCCCCGGCUAACUACGUGCCAGCAGCCGCGGUAACACGUAGGGGGCAAGCGUUAUCCGGAAUCACUGGGCGUAAAGGGUGCGCAGGCGGGCCUGCAAGUCCGAUGUGAAAGCCCCGGGCUCAACUCGGGAAGUGCAUCGGAAACUGUGGGUCUUGAGGACCGGAGAGGAAGGCCGAAUUCGCGGUGUAGCGGUGAAAUGCGUAGAUAUCGCGAGGAAGACCAGUGGCGAAAGCGGCCUUCUGGACGGUUCCUGACGCUCAGGCACGAAAGCGUGGGUAGCAAACGGGAUUAGAUACCCCGGUAGUCCACGCUGUAAACUAUGGGCACUAGGUGUUGGCGAUACAACUCGUCAGUGCCGUAGCUAACGCAUUAAGUGCCCCGCCUGGGAAGUACGUCCGCAAGGAUGAAACUCAAAGGAAUUGACGGGGGCCCGCACAAGCGGUGGAGCACGUGGUUUAAUUGAAUGCAAAGUCACGAACCUUACC